GAUGAACGCUGGCGGCGUGCCUAAUACAUGCGAGUCGAGCGAACGGACGAGAAGCUUGCUUUUCUGAUGUUAGCGGCGGACGGGUGAGUAACACGUGGAUAACCUACCUAUAAGGCUGGGAUAACUUCGGGAAACCGGAGCUAAUACCGGAUAAUAUUUUGAACCGCAUGGUUCAAAAGUGAAAGACGGUCUUGCUGUCACUUAUAGAUGGAUCCGCGCUGCAUUAGCUAGUUGGUAAGGUAACGGCUUACCAAGGCAACGAUGCAUAGCCGACCUGAGAGGGUGAUCGGCCACACUGGAACUGAGACACGGUCCAGACUCCUACGGGAGGCAGCAGUAGGGAAUCUUCCGCAAUGGGCGAAAGCCUGACGGAGCAACGCCGCGUGAGUGAUGAAGGUCUUCGGAUCGUAAAACUCUGUUAUUAGGGAAGAACAUAUGUGUAAGUAACUGUGCACAUCUUGACGGUACCUAAUCAGAAAGCCACGGCUAACUACGUG
RNAcentral lists this ribosomal RNA (497 nucleotides) under uncultured bacterium. RNAcentral describes it as "partial 16S ribosomal RNA". It matches the Rfam family "Bacterial small subunit ribosomal RNA", at positions 28 to 507 of the family's 1533-position model. The record is from RNAcentral.